GGAAUUUUCGCAAUGGGCGAAAGCCUGACGGAGCAACGCCGCGUGAGGGAUGAAGGCCUCUGGGCUGUAAACCUCUUUUAUCAAGGAAGAAGAUCUGACGGUACUUGAUGAAUAAGCCACGGCUAAUUCCGUGCCAGCAGCCGCGGUAAUACGGGAGUGGCAAGCGUUAUCCGGAAUUAUUGGGCGUAAAGCGUCCGCAGGCGGUCUGUCAAGUCUGCUGUUAAAGCGUGGAGCUUAACUCCAUUUCGGCAGUGGAAACUGACAGACUAGAGUGUGGUAGGGGCAGAGGGAAUUCCCGGUGUAGCGGUGAAAUGCGUAGAUAUCGGGAAGAACACCAGUGGCGAAGGCGCUCUGCUGGGCCAUAACUGACGCUCAUGGACGAAAGCCAGGGGAGCGAAAGGGAUUAGAUACCCCAGUAGUC
Molecule: ribosomal RNA, 421 nt
Filed under: uncultured cyanobacterium
Lineage: Bacteria; Bacillati; Cyanobacteriota
Description: bacterial SSU rRNA
Rfam family: Bacterial small subunit ribosomal RNA
Source: RNAcentral